This 2213-nucleotide unclassified non-coding RNA is filed under the name Hevea brasiliensis (rubber tree). The record is from RNAcentral. Lineage: Eukaryota; Viridiplantae; Streptophyta; Magnoliopsida; Malpighiales; Euphorbiaceae.
AUUUUUGUGUUUUAAAUCCUGGAGCUGAUUGCUGAGCAACUGGAGUUAGCAAUCCCAAGCCUCAAACUUCAACUGCAACAAAUUACAACUUUGAACCAGAUUUGGCAAUGUAAAAAUGCUUAUAUGUUAGUAUCACCAAUAAUCUUUGCAAGAACAUAAUCCGUUCCUGAAAUGGUGGAAGCGGGAUGCAUCCCUGACAACAAAUUGAUGAUCCACAAUUUUGCUGACCAACUUUAUAAACAAAUGACAAUCUACACAUAUCCUAAGAUUCUUUAUCACAACAAUCUCUGAUCCUUCUGUGCUGUUCAGGAGCCCAAAUGCGAUUGCCAACUUUUCACUAUGCACGCCCCUGCCAUUUAUCGAUUCUUCAGUUCUUCUUUCUCGACCAUUCUUGGUAAGCUUAUCAAGAUCCUUAACCAAAAUUUCUAACUCAUCUAACAUUUUGUAUAAUUCCUCAGUUUGAGGAUGAUUUCUAUCUCCAGCGAAGAAGAGGUGAACUCUCCCAUUAAAUUCAACAUAACUACAGCCUGGGUCCUUUUUGAGGUUCCUCUUCUUCAUCAUCACUCUAACUCCUAAUAUCCCCUCCAAAUUCCCAGCCUCGGUAUAUAUAUUAGAUAACAAAACGUAGUAACCAAUAUUUGUAGGUUCGUGCUCAAUGACCCGUUCGAAAGCCACCUCUGCUAACUCUACAUUUUUAUGGAUUUUGCAAGCACCUAAAAGUGCUCCCCACACGGCACCAUCAGGUUUUGCUGGCAUAGAUUCAAUGAGCUCCCGAGCCUCAUUUAGCUUACCUGCCCUGCCUAAAAGAUCCACCAUGCAAGAGUAAUGUUCUGGACCAGGCUGCAAUCCAUACUUCCUCUGCAUCAUACCAUAAUAAUCAAAUCCCUUGUCAGUCAGUCCCGCAUGACUACAUGCAGAUAAAACGCUCACAAAAGCUGUUCCAUCAGGUCUAAUGCCAGUCCUGAUCAUGUCAUCAAAGAGCUCAGUAGCAAUCUCUCCUUGUCCAUGCAUUCCAUACCCUCCUAUGAUUGCUGUAUAUGAAACUACACUUUUCACAGGCAUGCCAUUAAAGAUAUCUCUAGCCUUCACCAAAUUACCACACCUAGCAUACAUAUUAAGCAAAGCAUUGUUCAGUAAUGGAUUGGACCCAAAUCCACAAACCUUUAUUUGCUGUUCUAUCUCCCGACCAACGCUAUGUGCACCAAGAUGAGCACAGGAAGAAAGAACCCCAACAAGUGUUAUAGGGUCAGGAGAAACCCCAGUUGAUUUCAUCUCCCUGUAAAGAUCCAAAACGUUGUUAGCAAGCCCAUUUUGGGCGUACCCAUUAAUCAUUGCAUUCCAAGUAAUCAAACCUUUUUCUGGCAUAUCGUUAAAUAACUUUCUUGCAGAAUCGAUUUCCCCACAUUUCACAUACAUUGUAAGCAAGCAGUUCCCAAUAGACAAAUCCGCAUCGAAUCCAAGCUUCGUACAACAAGCAUGAACAGACAUUCCCAGUUCCAAAUUCCCAGGAAGCCCACAUAUUGGAAUCAAUCCCAACAAUGUAACCCCAUUAAUCUCCACACCUAUUUCUCUCAUUUCGCUAAACAAUGACACCGUCUCCUUAACUCUAAGGUUGAAUGCAUAUCCAGAUAUCAAAGCAUUGUAACAAACCAUUAGCUUACUAGAAUGGGGAUUUUCAUCAAAUACUUUACGGGCAUUGUCUAUUAGGAAACAUUUACCGUACAUUGAUAUCAACGAUGUCUGGACAAAGGGUUCAAAUAAACACCCAGUUUUAAUGACAUGGCCAUGGAGUUGUUUUCCGGUGGUAGGAAGAGAAAGGACUGCGCAGGAUUUAAGGGCAAAUGGGAAAGCGAAAGCGUUAGGGAAAGAGCCAGAGCGGAGCGUUUGAAGGUAGGUGAAGAGCGAUUGGUUCCAUGGCGAUACAUUGGCGGAAGUGGAUGUUCUGGUGGUGGACGAUUUGAGGUGUUUGUAUAAUAUCGUCUUAAUGGCCAUAUGUUGACAUGAUAGAGGCCGGAGCCGGAGAAACGAGCGAGACAGAAUAAGCGAGUCGACGUGAGAUGCAUAUCUCGGCCGAAAUAUAUUUCUUGCAAUGAUAGGUAAUAAAAUAUUGAGAAAAAGAUAUAUUUUUUUAGAAAUAAUUUAUUUAUUUUUUUUUAAUGUUUGAAACAUUAAAAAAAUUGAUUAAUACGAAUAUUUUCGUGCUCAAAGAUAAA